RNAcentral lists this small RNA (628 nucleotides) under Pan troglodytes (chimpanzee). RNAcentral describes it as "retained intron". Lineage: Eukaryota; Metazoa; Chordata; Mammalia; Primates; Hominidae. The record is from RNAcentral.
CCGGGGGGAAUGGGCCAGCGCCCAGUGGUCACCUGGCCAUGUCUCCCCACAGCCCGGAAGCAGGAGAUCAUUAAGACCACGGAGCAGCUCAUCGAGGCCGUCAACAACGGUGACUUUGAGGCCUACGCGAAAAUCUGUGACCCAGGGCUGACCUCGUUUGAGCCUGAAGCACUGGGCAACCUGGUUGAAGGGAUGGACUUCCACAGAUUCUACUUCGAGAACCUGCUGGCCAAGAACAGCAAGCCGAUCCACACGACCAUCCUGAACCCACACGUGCACGUCAUUGGAGAGGAUGCCGCCUGCAUCGCUUACAUCCGGCUCACGCAGUACAUUGACGGGCAGGGCCGGCCCCGCACCAGCCAGUCUGAGGAGACCCGCGUGUGGCACCGCCGCGACGGCAAGUGGCAGAACGUGCACUUCCACUGCUCGGGCGCGCCUGUGGCCCCGCUGCAGUGAAGAGCUGCGCCCUGGUUUCGCCGGACAGAGUUGGUGUUUGGAGCCCGACUGCCCUCGGGCACACGGCCUGCCUGUCGCAUGUUUGUGUCUGCCUCGUUCCCUCCCCUGGUGCCUGUGUCUGCAGAAAAACAAGACCAGAUGUGAUUUGUUAAAAAAAAAAAAAAAAAAAAAA